GCUCUUGAUUGAAGUCCCAGUAAACGGCGGCCGUAACUAUAACGGUCCUAAGGUAGCGAAAUUCCUUGUCGGGUAAGUUCCGACCUGCACGAAUGGCGUAACGAUGGCCACACUGUCUCCUCCCGAGACUCAGCGAAGUUGAAAUGUUUGUGAUGAUGCAAUCUACCCGCGGCUAGACGGAAAGACCCCAUGAACCUUUACUGUAGCUUUGCAUUGGACUUUGAACCAAUCUGUGUAGGAUAGGUGGGAGGCUUUGAAGCAGGGACGCUAGUCUCUGUGGAGCCAACCUUGAAAUACCACCCUGGUUUGUUUGAGGUUCUAACCUUGGUCCGUUAUCCGGAUCGGGGACAGUGCAUGGUAGGCAGUUUGACUAGGGCGGUCUCCUCCCAAAGUGUAACGGAGGAGUUCGAAGGUACGCUAGGUACGGUCGGACAUCGUGCUAAUAGUGCAAUGGCAUAAGCGUGCUUAACUGCGAGACUGACAAGUCGAGCAGGUACGAAAGUAGGACAUAGUGAUCCGGUGGUUCUGUAUGGAAGGGCCAUCGCUCAACGGAUAAAAGGUACUCUGGGGAUAACAGGCUGAUUCCUCCCAAGAGUUCAUAUCGACGGGGGAGUUUGGCACCUCGAUGUCGGCUCAUCACAUCCUGGGGCUGUAGCCGGUCCCAAGGGUAUGGCUGUUCGCCAUUUAAAGUGGUACGUGAGCUGGGUUUAAAACGUCGUGAGACAGUUUGGUCCCUAUCUGCCGUGGGCGUUGGAAGUUUGAAGGGGGCUGCUCCUAGUACGAGAGGACCGGAGUGGACGAACCUCUGGUGUAUCGGUUGUCACGCCAGUGGCAUUGCCGAGUAGCUAAGUUCGGAAGAGAUAACCGCUGAAAGCAUCUAAGCGGGAAACUCGCCUUGAGAUGAGACUUCCCGGGAACUAGAUUCCCCUAAAGGGUCGUUCGAGACCAGGACGUUGAUAGGUCAGGUGUGGAAGCGCAGUAAUGCGUUAAGCUAACUGAUACUAAUUGCCCGUGCGGCUUGUUCCU
Molecule: ribosomal RNA, 1026 nt
Filed under: soil metagenome
Description: bacterial LSU rRNA
Rfam family: Bacterial large subunit ribosomal RNA
Source: RNAcentral